RNAcentral lists this long non-coding RNA (25718 nucleotides) under Malus domestica (apple). Its description in RNAcentral is "long non-coding RNA (MDOM_LNC004148)". Lineage: Eukaryota; Viridiplantae; Streptophyta; Magnoliopsida; Rosales; Rosaceae. The record is from RNAcentral.
GCAUUCCCACGAAAGUGAUGAUUCGGUGGAGUCUUUCUUCUGAAGGAUAUGAUGGGAGAGAGUUCCGUUAGAAAUAUACUCAUAUACUAGCAAUGGAACCUCCGUCUCCAAGCAACAACCAAGCAAUUUCACGAUGUUUCGAUGAUUGAUUUGAGUUAGAAUGACAACUUCAUUGAUGAAUUGCUCAAUCUGAUUUUCGUCCAUCGCCCUUGACCUUUUAACCGCUACUAUGGUUCCGUCAGGUAACAUCCCUUUAUAAACUGUGCCAUAACCUCCUUCCCCUAGAAACCGGCUCUGGUUGUAGUUAUCCGUUGCUCUCUCUAACUCCUCUGCAGUAAAUAGUUUUGCAUUGCUACUAAUUCCAUAAAAUGAGAAUUUUUCUCGCAACAAGAAGCCCCCAUUUUGCUUGAAAAAGUUCUCCUUACGGGUUUUGGUUCUCCUUCUCUUCAGGCAUUGAUAUAAAUAGUAGCAUAAAAGGAACACGCAUAUGAAUGCAAACCCAAUCCCAAUACCUGUCAAGUAAAUUAGACAACAAAGAAAAACCAAUUAGCUCACGUCCAAGUUGAAAAUUCAAGUAAUACAGAGAGAAGAAUGUAAAGUCUGAUAUUUGAAACGUGACAAAAUAAAAUACGACAUAUAAUGAAUAAUUUUACUACUAAUUACAUCGAUGCAUUUUUGUACAUCGGCCUGCUAAACGUGACAAAAACAAAAUAAAAUACGAUAUAUAUACCUAGCAGUGUGACCAACUUCACCGGAAACUUUUUGCCGUUGCGAAUACAAUCGACAUAUUCUAGGAUACUCCCAUUUGCAACGAAAUUCCCAUCAGAAGUAGGGCAUUUCUUGCUUUUGAGGGGAACAAGAACAGUUGUAUUAGGGUCGAUAAUGCUGUCCCGUGACAACAAAUUUGCCUCUAGUAUACUUUGACUGUUUACCCCAAAUAUCUCUCCUAUUCUUGCAAUUGUGUCGUUCAUGGCUACUAUAUAUGUCAGCAGGGAUGUAAUCCCAUCUGCAGUUUGCUUUUCGCUCGGGCAAGCGCAUCUCACCAGAACUGUUAACACUGCUCCCACCGUAAUAUUUACAGGUUCAUAAUAGUUCUGACCUAUCAUAGACUGACAUGUAGCCAGGCCUUGGAAAGUGUAGACGGCCGUCUUAUAAUACGUAUCGCCUUCUGUCACGGUGUAAGUAGAGAAGUGCUGGAAGAUACUGCCCGAACAUGAACAAGAAACUGGAACUACAACCAACCUGUUGCUUGGAAUCUUGUCACUUCCUGAAACCUUGUUAACUGAGGCAAUCUCUGAGGCUUCGGAGGCGAGGAGAGAGGCGAUGCUGAUGGCGGUGUCAUGGGGCGGCUGCGAUCUGAACGUGACGAAGGACUGGCAGGACUUGAUGACACUGGAAUCACAGAGGUACCCAUUUGACAUGGGGCUACCAUCGCAGGACUGUGUGCUGUUGAGGUAUACCUGCUGAGGGUGUGCUGGUUGAUAAAAUAGGGACAUACACAGGCAAGCAUAGAGGAAAUCAUAGAAGGAAGAUAGGUUCAUUGUAUGUGGUUAAUGGAGUUUUAGUUUUUCUUUCGAAAUCUUAGGGCAAGCGACAAGUAAGCAAGCUAAGCUAGCUUGAGCUCUUGAUCCUUUACUAAAUCUAUAUAUAUAUAUAUUAAAAAUAAAAAAAAAUAAAAAAAGAAGAGAGCUUAGGUUUGGCGUGAAUUUCCCACUGAUGUCCAAACUUGUCAAGGUCGGCAAUAUUCUGGUCUAGUCAGAAUUGUCAGCUUGAAGAUUUGGCAUGAGAAUUCGGAUCCUUGUCCGAUCUUUUUGUGAGGAUCUAGAAAUAUGUAAAUCGUGUUCGUUCAUAUAUCGUGUUAUUAGAAAUAAUUUUAAAUAUAUUUAUUUAAAAUUAAACACAAACAGUACUUGAUAAAAACUGACCGCACGACAUACGAUGAACGGAUAUAAUUUACGGAUCCUUAAGAUCCUCACAAAAGGAUUCGGAGAGGAUUAUGUUGGUCUCAACGAAUCCUCCUUGUGAAGAUUCUAGGAAUCUUUCAGUCACGUACGUUCAUCGUAUAACGUGCAGUAAGAAAUUAUUGUAAAUUUUUUAUUUAAAAUUAAAUAUAAACAUACUUUACGAAAAUUAAUCUCACGAUGUACGAUAAAUGUCACAUCUCGGUGCAGUCAGAAAUUAUUGUAAAUUUUUUAUUUAAAAUUAAAUAUAAGCAUACUUUACGAAAAUUAAUCGCACGAUGUACGAUAAAUGCCAUAUCCCCGCCUGGGACGGACCACUUCCCGAGCCCGCUCCAUCACCGUAGUACGAUAUUGUCCGCUUUGGGCCCGAUUACGCCCUCACGGUUUUGUUUUUGGGAACUCACGAGUAACUUCCCAGUAGGUUACCCAUCAUGAGAGUGCUCUGACCUCCUUCUCGCAUAACUUUGAAGUUUCUACGGAAUCGGAAGCCAGUGAACUCCCAAAAGGUCUCGUGCUAGUUCUGGUUGAUAAAAUAGGGACAUACACAGGCUUGCAUAUAGGAAAUCAUAGAAAUAAAAUAACUCCAUUAUAUGUGGUUAAUGGAGUUCUAGUUUUUCUUUCGAAAUCUUAGGGCAAGCAAUAAGUAAGCAAGCUAGCUUGAACUCUUGAUCCUUUACUAAUAAAUCCCAAAAAAAAAAAAACAUAUAUACAGAGAGAGAGAGAGAGAGAGAGAGAUUAGGUUUGGCGUGAAUUUCCUAUUGAUGUCCAAACUUGUCAAGGUCAGCAAUAUUCUGGUCUAGUCAGAAUUGUCAGCUUGAAGAUUUGGCAUGAGGAUCCUUGCCGAGAAUCCGGAUCCGGAUCCCGAGGAUUUCAAGAUACAUAAAUCGUAUCUGUUCAUCAUACAUCGUGAGAUCAAAAAUCAUUUAAAAUUUUUCUAUUUAAAAUUAAACACAAACAGUAUUUGACAAAAAUUGACCACACGAUAUAGGAUGAACGAAUGCGAUUCACAAAUCCUUAUAAUCGUCACCAAAAGGAUCUGGAGAUGAUCUUGUUGGCCUCACCAGAUCCUCCUUGUGAAGAUCUCAAGAAUCUUUCAAUCACAUCCGUUCAUCAUAUAUUAUACGAUUAGAAAUCCUUAUAAAAUUUUAUUUAAAAUUGAAUAUAAACAUACUUGACGAAAACUAGAUGCACGAUGUACGAUAAACGAUGAACGGAUGUGAUUAGAGAAUUUUUGUAAUCCUCACAAAGAGUAUCCGAUGAGAAUUCUCUCUUGAAGAUUUGAAAGGGACUGUCACGUCUCAUUUGUCAUUGGUGGUACGUGUCGAGUCAUCAAAUCGUAAGAAAGUUCUAAAGAUUUGCUAGCACGGAUGAGGAUCACAUCCGGAUCCAAAUGGUAGGGAUCUUAAAAAUCCUUACAUCAUAGCCGUUCAUCAUACAUUGUAUGGUCAGUUUUCGUCAGGUACUAUUUCUGUUUAAUUUUAAAUAAAAAAUUCAAAUAAUUUCUAACUGUACAAUGUACAAUAAACGAUUAGGAUGUACAUAUCCCUACUAUUUGAAUCCUAAUGGGAUCCAAAUCCUGCUUGCACGACUUGAAUAGUCGCAUGACAGAUGGGCAAGUGUCUGGUCAAAUUGGUUUAGGACACGGCAAUGAACUCAAUUAAUCUUGGAUAAUUAUCUUUCCUUUAUCAUUGUUGAACUUUGUGCAUCGGGAAGCAAACAACGUAGCACACAUGCUAGCUCGUGCUGGUUUGGGUGUUUCUAGUGAAGAUAGGUGGGUUGAAUCUCCCCCAAAUUUUAUUUUAGAUGCUUUAUUAGAAGAUAAUCAUGUGUAACCGUUUACAUUACGGUGAAGAUAACUAUUUAUGCGGAACACUCUUUUUUUUUUAGAUCGAAUUGAAAUUUACGACAAGAUUUUUAUUGAGUCCCAUUUUAACACCAUAUUCUCUCUUUGUACGUGUUUUUUGUAUUAAUAAAUAUUGUACUUUCUUAAAAAAAACAAAAUAGAACUACUUUAUUUUUUAACAAAUUUGCUAACUACUUAAGUUCAAUCUUGGAUAAUAUUUUUAAUAUCUUUCUUUUAUUUUUCGUUUUAUUUGCUAACUACUUGUAGUGAGUGGUAGAUAUUCAAAUAUAUUGUGUUUGUGUACUUAUUUUCUAUUGAUGGUUUUCAAAUGUAAUCUAAAAAAAUUGGUGUCUAUUUAUUAGGUCUGGCAAACGGGUCGUGUCUGUCGUGUUCGUGUUUUUUUCGUGUAACACCUGUUAUCUUAACGGGUCGUGUCAUGUCACACCUAUUAUCUUAACAUGUUGGGUCACUUUACCUAACGGGUAAAGUGACCCGACCCGUUAUGACCCGUUAAGAAAAAUAUUUUUUUUCCUUAAAUUUGCACAUACCACACAUUGCCACUUAAAUAUUACUUCAAAACAUUAAAACACAUUUAUCGUUUUAGUAUUACAUUUACACUUGAAAAUAAGAUCCUAAUAAAAAAACAAUCAAACACUACUAGUCUAUUACAAAAUAUUAAAUGUGCAAGCAUGGGCGAAGCUACAGAGGAGCAAGGAGGGGCGGUCGCCCCUCCUUUCGCCGGAAAAGAAUCCCAAAAACGGGUAGCCGCCCCUCUAGUCAGUCGGAAAACCUGCAAACGCCCCCUGCUUCCUCUGCUGCUGUACAUCAUCCGUUGUAGGCCUUCAUUUUUUUUUGAAAUCCCAACUACUAUUGGCGUAUAGCGAAGAAAUAAGACGAAAUAUGGGCAUUUCCAGUGUGAGCCGGAGUUGCGUUGCAGAAGCGGUGGUUCAAAUGAUUCGCGAGGAAGAAGAAGGGGCCCAGCUAUUUAAGUUGAAACGCACAGUUUCAUUUUUGUUGUGGCUACCAAUGAAAAUACAACUGCAAGCCACUUUUGAUUGUUUUCUUAUUUUUUUAUAAUUAUUUUUUAAUAUUAACAAAAGAUUUCAGAGCAUUAAUUUUAUUAAUUUAUAGUUUAGAGUUUUAUAAAAAAUAAUAACUCACUAUAAGAAGUGUACUUUUCUCGUACUAUCAUAUUCACUAAAUUAUUAAAAUAAAAAUUUGAUAAUUUUGAAUGUUAUAUGUUAAAUAAUAAGCUUAGUUAAAUAUAAAAUUGAAGCUUCAAUACAAGUAUAAUUUUUUAAGGUGUAAGACACUUAUUUAUAUGAUAUAUACAUAAUAAAUUUACUCAAAUACGUCUAGGUUCCUACCUAGGCGUUAGAUGAUAUAUAAAUAAAUUUACUCAAAUUUGUCUAGGCGCUAGGCUUCAGUUUGCUGCCUGCCUAGACUUAGCGUCUUUUAGAACCUUUAACCUUAAUUAUAAAUGACAUUAAUAUUGCCUACUAUCUAAAAGGAUUUGAUUGUCUACACUUUUUUGGGACCUUUUACAGUUCUAAAUUUCGUCCCUCCUCCCGACUAUUUCUGGUUUCACCACUGGUAAGGAUGUGAAUAUACAUUUAAGGAUCCCUCUCUUGGGCGAUGUAGGAUGUUAUAAUAAACGAAUGUGAUUAAAAAAUCUUUGUAAUCCUCACAAAGAGUAUUCUCUCUCGAAGAUUUGAAAGGUAUUGGAUUUUUUUUUUUUGAAAAAAAGAAACCAAUAUCUUUUCAUAAGAAAAUUCUAAAGACUUGCUUGCACGACUUGAAUUGUCGCAUGAAAAAAAAAAAAAUCCAAUACCUUUUCAUAAGAAAAUUCUAAAGACUUGCUUGCACGACUUGAAUUGUCGCAUGACAGAUGGGCUAGUGUCUGGUCAAAUUGGUUUAGGACACGGCAAUGAACUUUCUUUUAAUUUUCUUUUUAUUUUCUUUUUAUUUGCUAACUACUUUAUUUUUUAACAAAUUUGCUAACUACUUAGACCAUCUCUAACCUUUGGACUAAAAGCUAAAUUUUUUAGUCCGAAAAAUUUAGCUUUUAGCCUAGAAAUAGUUUUUCUACUCAAACUCUUCUGGCCUAAAAAUUUAGCCCGGGAUUAUUAAAAGAAUGAACUUAGACUAUUUUUUUUUCUUAAAUUAACUUCUUUUUUUUAAAUAUGUAGACUAUUGUAAAUUAAUUUUAUGAACAUUUUAAUUUAAAAAUAUUUAAAUUUUAAAAAAUAUUGAAAAAUCAUGAAUUCGAAACCAUAGGUCCAAGAAUCAGGGUGCAUGUUCAAGAAAAACACAAGUCCCCUAUUCGUUAAUGUCUAUAUGUUUUUUUACUAAAUUAUUUCAUUUCUUAAAACUAAUUAAGCCUUUAAAGAUUAUUUUAUCACUCGUGCGCCCUCUAUUACUUUGUAUAAGUUGUUUUUACAGUGGCCUUCGUGUUUGUUACUUGCAUAAAUAGCUCGACAAAGACAAUUAAUCUCCUAGUCUAGUCAUCACUCAUCAACACGCACUUGCGUUUAUUUCCUUGAUUCCCAAAUUCUUAAAUUUUGUGUUUACGUUUUAAAAAUUGACUUUACACUCUACGUACUUAUUAUCUGAUGAGUAAUGAUAAAUGGUAGGCCUGACAAUUCAUGACACGACCCAAUAACCCGAUCCGACACGACAUGAAAUUAACAGGUGUUCGGAUCGACACGAUAACGAAUCGGGUCGUUAUCGGGUAACCCGAUAAACACCUGUUAAGAUAACGGGUUGGUUCAGGUAUACACGUGGGUAACACGAAACACGAUAAACAGAAUAUUAAUUUUAUAAUUUUAUAACCCUAAAAAAAUAAUAUAAAAAUAAUAUAUAUUAGUUUAACAAUUUUAUACCCCUAAAAACUAUAAUAUAUAUAUAUAUAUAUAUAUUAAAUUAACUAUAAUAUAUAUAUAUAUAUAUAUAUUAACUAUAAUAAUUAUAAUAAUUAUAUAUACUCGAACAAUUAUACCCUCAAAAUAUGAUGGAAUAUGGAUGUGCAUUAAGGCGCGACAUAAGAUGAUGUAGUAGGAUGGGAUGAUUAUCACAUGAAUACAAAUGGUAUAUGCCUUUUGAUUCUUGCCACGUGGAAUGCAUCAGUAGGAGAUUUUGACUCCUUAUGCAAGUAUGGGUUUGAUAAAAUAAAGGACAUAAUUAUAUCUCCAAGCAAAUAGUACAAUUCAAAUUGAUUUGGGAUGUGUGGUGUAAGAUCUCAUAUCGCCCAGAGGUGUGGAUCCUGUAAGUCUCAUAUGUAUAUUCACAUCUUUAUCUAGCACGAGGCAUUUUGGGAGCUCACUGGCUUCAGGUUCCGUAGGAACUUCGAAGUCAAGCGAGAAUGGCGCGAGAGCAAUCCUAUGAUGGAUGACCCACUGGGAAGUUCUUGCUGAGUUCCCAUAAACAAAACUGUGAGGGCGUGGUCGGGGCCAAAAGCAGACAAUAUCGUGCUACGGUGGAGUCGAGCUCGGGGUGUGGUGGAGCUCGGGCCGGGAUCUGACAAUUUGGUAUCAGAGCCAAUCGCUCAUUGGCUUCGGGUUUCAUAGGAACUCUGAAGUUAAGCGAGAAUGGUGCAAGAGCAAUCACAAGAUGGGUGACCUACUAGGAAGUUCUCGCGUGAGUUCCCAUAAACAAAAUCGUAAGGGCGUGGUCGGGGCCCAAAGCGGACAAUAUCGUGCUACGGCGGAUUUGGAUCUCAUUAGGAUUCAAAUAGUAGGGAUCUGUACAUCCUAAUCGUUUAUUGUACAUUGUACAGUUAGAAAUUAUUUGAAUUUUUUAUUUAAAAUUAAACAUAAAUAGUACCUGACGAAAACUGACCAUACAAUGUAUGAUGAACGGCUAUGAUGUAAGGAUCUUUAAGAUCCCUACCAUUUGGAUCCGGAUGUGAUCAUCAUCCGUGCUAGCAAAUCUUUAGAACUUUCUUACGAUUUGAUGACUCGACACGUACCACCAAUGACAAAUGAGACGUAACAAUCCCUUUCAAAUCUUCAAGAGAGAAUUCUCAUCGGAUACUCUUUGUGAGGAUUACAAAAAUUCUCUAAUCGCAUCCGUUCAUCGUUCAUCGUACAUCGUGCAUCUAGUUUUCGUCAAGUAUGUUUAUAUUUAAUUUUAAAUAAAAUUUUACAAGGAUUUCUGAUCGUAUAAUAUACGAUGAACGGAUGUGAUUGAAAGAUUCUUGAGAUCUUCACAAGGAGGAUCUGGUGAGGCCAACAGGAUCCUCUCCAUAUCCUUUUGGUGACGAUUAUAAGGAUUUGUGAAUCGCAUUCGUUCAUCAUAUAUCGUGUGGUCAAUUUUUGUCAAAUACUGUUUGUGUUUAAUUUUAAAUAGAAAAAUUUUAAAUGAUUUUUGAUCUUACAAUGUAUGAUGAACAGACAUGAUUUAUGUAUCUUGAAAUCCUCGGGAUCCGGAUCCGGAUUCUCGGCAAGGAUCCUCAUGCCAAAUCUUUAAGCUGACAAUUUCGACUAGACCAGAAUAUUGCUGAGCUUGACAAGUUUGGACAUCAAUAGGAAAUUCACGCCAAAUCUCUCUCUCUCUCUCUCUCUCUCUCUCUCUCUAUAUAUAUAUAUAUGUAUAUUUGUUUUUUUUAUUUUGGGAUUUAUUAGUAAAGGAUCAAGAGUUCAAGCUAGCUUGCUUACUUAUUGCUUGCCCUAAGAUUUCGAAAGAAAAACUAGAACUCCAUUAACCACAUAUAAUGGAGCUAUUUUCUUUCUAUGAUUUCCUAUAUGCAAGCCUGUGUAUGUCCCUAUUUUAUCAACCAGUGACGAAGCCAGAAAUAGUCGGGAAGAGGGGCGAAAUUUAGAACUGUAAAAGGUCCCAAAAAAGUGUAGACAAUCAAAUCUUUUUAGAUAGUAGGCAAUAUUAAUGUAAUUCAUAAUUAAGGUUAAAGGUUCUAAAAGACGCUAGGUCUAGGCAGACAGCGAACUGAAGCCUAGUGCCUAAACAAAUUUGAGUAAAUUUAUUUAUAUAUCAUCUAACGCCUAGGCAGGAACCUAGACGUAUUUGAGAAAAUUUAUUAUGUAUAUAUCAUAUACAUAAGUGUCUUACACCUUAAAAAAUUAUACCUGUAUUGAAGCUUCAAUUUUAUAUUUAACUAAGCUUAUUAUUUAACAUAUAACAUUCAAAAUUAUCAAAAUUUUAUUUUAAUAAUUUAGUGAAUAUGAUAGUACGAGAAAAGUACACUUCUUAUAGUGAGUUAUUAUUUUUUAUAAAACUCUAAACUAUAAAUUAAUAAAAUUAAUGCUCUGAAAUCUUUUGUUAAUAUUAAAAAAUAAUUAUAAAAAAAUAAGAAAACAAUCAGAAGUGGCUUGCAGCUGUAUUUUCAUUGGUAGCCACAACAAAAAAUGAAACUGUGCAUUUCAACUUAAAUAGCUGGGCCCCUUCUUCUUCCUCGCAAAUCAUUUGAACCGCCGCUUCUGCAACGCAGAUCCGGCUCGCACCGGAAAUGCCCAUAUUUCAUCUUAUUUCUUCGCUAUACGCCAAUAGUAGUUGGGAUUUAAAAAAAAAAAAUGAAGGCCUACAACGGAUGAUGUACAGCAGCAGAGGAAGCAGGGGGCGUUUGCAGGUUUUCCGACUGACUAGAGGGGCGGCUACCCGUUUCUGGGAUUCUUUUCCGGCGAGAGGAGGGGCGACCGCCCCUCCUUGCUCCUCUGUAGCUUCGCCCUCAGCAGGCAUACCUCAACCACACACAGUUCAACUGCUCCAGUAACCCUGCCAUAUCAAAAGGGUACCUCUGUGAUGGCAGUGUCAAGUCCUGCCAGUCCUUCGUCACGUUCAGAUCUCAGCCGCCCCAUGACACCGCCAUCAGCAUCGCCUCUCUCCUCGCCUCCGAAGCCUCAGAGAUUGCCUCAGUUAACAAAGUUUCAGCAAGUGACAAGAUUCCAAGCAACAGGUUGGUUGUAGUUCCAGUUUCUUGUUCAUGUUCGGGCAGUAUAUUCCAGCACUUCUCUCCUUACACCGUGACAAAAGGCGACACGUAUUAUUGGACGGCCCUCGACACUUUCCAAGGCCUGACUACAUGUCAGUCUCUGAUAGGUCAGAACUACUAUGACCCUGAAGAUAUUCCGGUGGGAGCAGUGUUAACAGUUCCGAUGAGAUGCGCUUGUCCAAGCGAAAAUCAAACUGCAGAAGGGAUUACAUCCCUGCUGACAUAUAUAGUAGCAAUGAACGAUACAGUUACAACAAUCGGAGAGAUGUUUGGGGUCAACAGUCAAAGUAUACUGGACGCAAAUUUGUUGUCACGGGACAGCAUUAUCGACCCUAAUACAACCGUUCUUGUUCCCCUCAAAAGCAACAAAUGCCCUACUUCUGAUGGUAAUUUCGUUGCAGAUGGGAGUAUCCUAGAAUAUGUCGAUUGCAUUUCCAAAGGCAAAAAGUUUCCGGUGAAGUUGGUCACACUGCUAGGUAUACAUAUCAAUCCUCUAGAUCUUACACAGUCUAGCAGGCCGAAUUACAAAAAUGCAUCAAUGUAAUUAGUAGUAAAAUUAUUCAUUAUAUCUCGUAUUUUAUUUUGUCACGAUUCAAAUGUCGGGCUUUACAUUCUUCUAACAACUAUGUCUGAGUAGUACGUGAAUUUUCAACUUGACGUGAGCUAAUUGGUUUUCUUUGUUGUCUAAUUUACUUGACAAGUAUUGGGAUUGGGUUUGCAUUCAUAUGCGUGUUCCUUUUAUGCUACUAUUUAUAUCAAUGCGUGAAGAGAAGGAGAACCAAAACCCGUAAGGAGAAAAUUUUCAAGCAAAAUGGGGGCUUCUUGUUGCGAGAGAAAUUCUCAUCUUAUGGAAUUAGUAGCAAUGCAAAACUAUUUACUGCAGAGGAGUUGGAAAGAGCAACAGAUAACUACAACGAGAGCCGGUUUCUAGGGGAAGGAGGUUAUGGCACAGUUUAUAAAGGGAUGUUACCUGACGGUACCAUAGUAGCGGUUAAAAGGUCAAGGGCGAUAGACGAUAAUCAGAUUGAGCAAUUCAUCAAUGAAGUUGUCAUUCUAACUCAAAUCAAUCAUCGAAACAUCGUGAAAUUGCUUGGUUGUUGUUUGGAGACGGAGGUUCCAUUGCUAGUAUAUGAGUAUAUUUCUAAUGGAACUCUCUUCUAUCAUAUCCGUCAGAAGAAAGACUCCACCGAAUCAUCACUUUCGUGGGAAUACCGUUUAAGAAUCGCUUGUGAAGUUGCCGGAGCAGUAGCGUAUAUGCACUCAGCAGCUUCAAUCCCCAUCUAUCAUAGAGACAUCAAGUCGUCUAACAUACUUCUAGACCAUAACUACAGUGCUAAAGUAUCCGACUUUGGGACUUCCAAAUCAGUUCCCCUUGUCAAAACUCACUUGACGACACAGGUACAGGGGACUUUCGGGUACAUGGAUCCCGAGUACUUCCAAUCUUGUAAGUUCACAGACAGAAGUGAUACCUACAGCUUCGGAGUUACGCUCGUGGAGAUACUAACUGGACACACCCCAUAUUCUUUUGCAAAACAUGAAGGAAAAAACCUGGUUGCAUCGUUCAUUUCAUUGACGAGGGAAGAUGAACUCGUUCAGAUUAUGGAUCCUCAAGUGGCUAGAGAUGCAGAUGUUGAGCAAAUUCGCACGAUUGCAGAGCUUGCAAAACGGUGUUUGAGGCUGAAUGGGGCAAAGAGGCCUAGUAUGAAAGAGGUAUCAACAGAGUUGGAAGGAUUGAGGAACGCUCAAAGAUGCCAUGAAACGUUCCGAGAAGAUCCUAUAGAGCAAAACAUUGAUUUCCCCAUGGAAAUUGAAUCUGCAUCGCUUUGAACUUGAAACACACAACUAUUUUAAUUUGCUUCCCUAGUUUUUUUGUAGUUCCAUUCAGUACGACGUAACCGGGAUUCAUAAGUUAAUAUUUCGUUGAAAUUUAGCAAAGUCGAAUGAAAUUUUUUUAAAUUUCUGAAGUUACGGUCUAGUGGUACGAUACUUCUAUUAGUGGAAUUACAGAGACUAAAAUUCGUUAACAAAUUGCCUGACUAACAAACUGUGUACACCACCUUUGUACAGCUUCCCGUAAACAAACAGAUUUCCACCUGCCAAGCUACCUACGAUCAUCAGAUAUAGUCUCUUCAGAAGAACCAUCGCUGGCUAUAAUAAUUACGUCGUCUUGUUUACCGGCAUGACGAGAAUGAUCCCUUCUCUGUUUCCCCGUCCCAAGUCCUACCGAUAAGUGGUUGAAAAGAGAAGCAUUUACUCUUAAAUCACCACAUGUAACCUGCAUUUCAUUCCUUGGUGCCAAAUGUGAUUCCCGACGAUCAAAACCAGCAAGGGUGACAUUCAACCUGUCUGAAUGAGCAAUUGAUGAAACAGUUGAAGGCACAGUUGGGGGUGGAGAAGCAACAGCUUCUCUGAGCCAGUAGGGCAAAUUUCCCUGUGGUCCAGUGCAAGUUGUGGGGACAUCAGUCGAUAGUAACUUGCCCCUCCGAAUACUUCUACCUCUAUUUAGAAUACUAAAUUCAUCAUCUUCAUGUGUGUCCCUUCCCAUUUCAAAACGAGAUGUCCUCUUUGUGUAACCAAGAGGCCUCCGGUGGUUUUCAUUGCCAUUGUCGCAAGUAUAAGCCGACUUGAAUAGUGGCCUCCUCAAGACAUCACCUCCUCUACAAGCAUCAACAUCGCCAAGUGAAACUUGGGUCAUGUCUGCUGUAUUUUCUUUCCAUAUUCCUCUUUUUGGACCCGUAAAGUAGUUGCAUCCCACUUGGGGAACACAAAUGCCACUAAAAAAUUUUGAUUGUUCCUCUUCCCACCGCUCAGCUUAGUCCCUUGCCACCCUCCGUGGUGAGAAGUGCAAUCUUGGAUCCCUUAACAUAGCAUUCCAAUUGUCGCGUCCAUAUCUUCUCACGCCCAUCCAUAGAAAAUCCAACUCUUCUUCAGACCACAUGGUACUAUAUGGCAUAUAUUUGUCAUGAAUACCACCCCUUUCAUUCAAAGCUCUUGCUUGGCUUACUACACUGUCAUGCAUAAGCUUGUGCCUCAAAACUGAUGAGUCAUUUUGUAGUUGGGGUGAAGGGUUGUUAAAGAGGGUUAGGGUUAGGUUUUGGAAUAUUUUUUUUUUUUUUUAGCAAACGAUAUUAUCUACACUAAAAGGAAGAUGGUGGACUUAGACUCACAAUGAGCUAGCAAUAAUGCGAUUCAAAUUCGCUUUUGGCGAGAAUCGAACCUAAGACCUCUAUUUACAAAUGAAGAGGAAUUCCACUAAACCGUAGUACUAAGUGGAAGGUUUUGGAUUUCUCAUGUAUACGUAUCCUUUUUAUUAGAACACACAAUGGGUAUCUUCUUUUAUUUGUGACUUUUUCAAGUUUUCAUGUUUGUUUCCUGUUCUCCUUGUUUUCUUUUUUACUGUUUGGAAUUAGUUGUGUUAAUCCUGCUAUCAGAUGGGCUAAUACGAUGUACUUGAUGACAAUAAAAAAAAAAAAUUAAUAAGGAAAAUAAACAAAUGUAAAAAAGUAUUAGAACAUUUCCAUUUUUCUUGUUUCUGAACUUGUAAGGUAAUCUGUUUGUACCAUACUUAGGGCAUCCGUAUUUAGAUCUCGUAUAAAUACUCGAGAGACUCAAGUGUAAUUAUGUAAUAAAUGAAGGGGGCAAAUAUGUAAUCAGUGAGGAGCCCUUAGUCUAUAAAAGUGACUCCUCACCCUCACAAUCCUCAAGCCUCACAUCCCCAAACAGAGGCUCUCAUAUUCAGAGCUCCCACCCUCACAGAGAAGCUCUCUAAAACCCUUUCUUUAUCUGGGGGACUCCCCCUCAUGCUUGUAAUCCAUACAUUCAUACAGAGAAAUACAAUCAACAUCAGUGUGGACUUAGCCCAAACAUUGGGGUGAACCACGAUACAUCUUAUGUUCUUUACUUUCUUGCAGAUUCACGGUCGGAUUUACGUUGUUCCAAGACCCAUCCGGUUUUGUGCAUCAACAUUUGGCGCCGUCUGUGCGAAUCGACAUGAAAAGCUAUGUCGGUUCUUUUUCAGUUUUCCAUCUCACCACCGUGAGAUCUCACCACACUCCAUAGGGAAUCUACAGAAACCUAAGAACCAAACGGAAAACACAUGCUAACAAGCACCCACCUUUCUUCCUUCGUCUCGAAAACCCAGCAGGAUUAGCCCGUUUUGGAAUCUGGGUCGGUGGGAUUUUUUUUAUUUUUUUUGGAUUCUGGUCAGGAAGUUUGUGAAUUUUGAAAAAUGAAGAAGCUCAAGAGCUACUACUCGCAUCUGAGGCACCACCAGACAAUGGAGCUCAAAUGGAUCUUCCCAUUGGCGAUUGGCUCCAUUGUCUCCCUCUUCCUCCUUUUCCUCACCACCCUGACGUCGUCCGACAGCAUGCCGCUGCUACCCUUCUACCUCUCAUUCUCCAUCUCGAGGUUCGUCUUCAUCGAAUCCAAGCCCUACCCGAUUCCCGACUCACUCGCCGCCUUAGGUUGCCAGGCGCUUCUCUUAUCGACCAACGUCGAUCCGAAGUAACGGCACCGUUUAGUGACGUUGGUAAGGCUGGGGCAGUACCACCAGCCUAUAGAAGCCUGCCCAGCCGAUGGCGUCGACCACAUGCCCUUUGAGGACCCCCGGCGCAACAGCCAGUUAAGUCGGGAAAUGAACUUUUAUAGAUAGAGGCAUUGCCCUCUGUCCGAGAAGACCCCUCUUUGCUUAAUCCCACCUCCCAAUGGCUACAAGAUUCUGGUCCCAUGGCCCGACAGCUUAACCAAGAAAGCACCAUUUCAUCUCUCUCUCUCUCAGAGGUUGAUAUUUUGGUUUGGAACAAUGCUCGGAGCCGGAGCUCAAUUCCAUGUGAUAGAUCGCUCAGCUGCCAUCCGUCUGGUCCCAAAAACUUCGCCUUCUUCUUCCUCUUCGUGCCGCUUGGUCUUUACGAUUUGAUUAGGGUUCAUCAAACCAUCAAAACGGUGUCGUGCGCUCAAAUCUCUCCGCAUUACCUGCAACAGCUCUUCCUUUCGCUCUAGAUCCAGCAAUGCCGACGAUCAUCAUGAUUUCGACCACAUCCAAGCUUCCCUCAUCCUCUCAGAUCCCAUCUCUCUCUCUGUGCAUCCAUCCAUGGUGACGAUCUAGAGCGUCAAGGCUAGGCAGAUCUUCGACAGCCGUGACAAUCCCACCGUUGAGGUCAAUAUCAUAUUGUCAUAUGGCACUUUGGCUAGAGCCGUUGUUCCAAGUGGUGCAUCCACUGGAGUUUACGAGGCCCUUGAGUUGCGCGAUGGAGGCAAAGACUACCUCAGAAAGGGUGUAUCGAAGGCUGUCAACAAUGUCAACACAAUCAUUGGCCCCGCUUUGAUAGGCAAUGACCUCAUCCAGCUCGGCAAGAUUACCGAAGAAGAAUUAAAGCAGUAAGAAGCCUCUGCUCAUGGCUAUCAAGGGUAAGAUCUAUGACGUGUCCUAGAGCAGUGGAGUUGGUAUACCAGCAUACAGAAGUGGCAAGCACAGAACAAGAUAAGAUUCCACUUCUAAAAAAGGAUGUCUGGAGAUGAGAAAAGCAUAGGAGAAAGUGGAUUUACUGUCACUACUCACCCAUGUUGUAAACCUGCAAAGCAAAAGUAGAAAAGAGAAUAAAAUCUGAGAGAUUGGGAUUUGACUGAGACCUAGUUUGGGAGUGAGGUGCUUAAAAAAAAAGCACCUAUGAAAAAAAGCUGUGAGGGUUUUAGGUGUUUGGUAAACUGAAAAAAAAAGGCUUAUUUUGGAAGCUGUUGUGAGAAUAAGCUGAAAUCAAAGGAAAAAGCUGAAGCUGUUAUUUGCAGCUUUGGAAAACUGGCUUUUUUUCAAAGCACACGAAGCUACAGUGCUCCUUUAAUGAAAAGACCCACUAUCAGACUGUUUUUUUUCCAAAACCACUUUUACAAAAAAGUUUACCAAACGCUCUGCUGAUUUAUUUCACAGCCGCUUAUUCUCACAGCACAGCCGCUUAUUCUCACAGCAGCUUUUUUUUUCAAAGUACAGCAAUACCAAACCAACCCUGAGUAUGACCUCAAGUGGUAGGGGACAAACAGUAAAAAAAGAUUAAUGAUUAAUUGGGUGCACAUGCAUGACAGCAGCGCAGAGACAGAGACAGAGGUGCGGUGGAAAGAGAAAAGAAAAAAUAGAAAAAAACUCUCCAGUACGCAGUAGGCGCAGUACGCACCAACAACAUGCAACUGUCAACCACUCUCACAAAGGAAAUCUCGCUGUUGCCGAUUUACUUUUCUUAUCUUUGGAGACAUCUGUAUAACCCCACCAGAGGGUAAUCAUAAAUAAAGAAAGAAGGCAGCAUGCCUAAAAAAAAAGUAUGUCCAAUACUCCAAAAUUAUUUGGCAGCCUGCCGCUAUUAUCACCAACCAGGUGAUCAAAAGUACGUCCAAUACUCCAAAAUGAUUCAGCAGCCUGCCGCUAUUAUCACCAACCAGGUGAUCAAAAGUACGUCCAAUACUCCAAAAUUAUUUGGCAGCCUACCGCUAUUAUCACUAACUAGGUGAUCAAAAGUACGUCCAGUACUCCAAAAUUAUACAUAAGCAUCACUCAUGUCAAUCAUACAUAAACAUUCAUGAGCAUCACUUAUGUCAAUCAUACAUAAACAUUCAUAAGCAUCACUCAUGUCAACAUUCAUGAGCAUCUCAUGUCAACAUUCACGAGCAUCACCCAUGUCAACAUUCACGAGCAUCACUCAUGUCAACAUCCAUGAGCAUCACUCAUGUCAAUCAACAUAAACAUUCAUGAGCAUCACUCAUGUCAAUCAGCUUCGAAAGCUUCAUUUACAGAGCUCCAGCUUCAAAAGCUUAAUUUAUAAAAGCUUCAGCUUCGAAAGCUUCAUUUACAAAGCUCCGACUUCAAAGCUUCAUUUGCAAAAGCUCCAGCUUCAAAGCUUCACCUACAAAGCUUUAGUGCAUGGUAUACAAAGACUGCCUCCGAACAACCGUCACUUCGGCCCAUACAUGGAUAGAAUUUGAAGUCUCCAACCAACAGACUCUCUUGACUGAAGACUUGAGGGACUGCACUAUGUACCAUAUAUUGGGCUUCCGCAACUGGGCCUCAUGAAAAAUACUUGGGGGACUUAGCCCAUUAUUUAUGUACUAAGGAGCGAACCUUAUUCUAUAAAAGGGACUCCUUCACCAUCAUUAGAGAGCAUCGCCGCCUGCUGAGCAACCGCCUCGCCGCGAGCAUCAACUUAGCCUAUCAUUCAUGUAUUAAAGAGCGAGCCCUGAUUCUAUAAAAGGGACUCCUUCACUUUCAUUAGAGAACACUCAUGAAAAAUACUUGGGGGACUUAGCCCAUCAUUCAUGUAUUGAAGAGCAAACCCUUAUUAUAUAAAAGGGACUCCCUCACCAUCAUUAGAGAGCAUCGCCGCCUGCUGAGCAACCGCCUCGCCGGGAGCAUCAACUCUAGCCCAUCAUUUAUGUAUUGAGAAGCAAGCCCUUAUUCUAUAAAAGGGACUCCCUCACCAUCAUUAGAGAACAUCACUGCCUGCUGAGCAACCGUCUCGCUGCAAGCAUCAACUCUAACCCAUCAUUUAUGUAUUGAGGAGCGAGCCCUUAUUCUAUAAAAGGGACUCCCUCACCUUCAACGCCACAAGCCGAGCCAACCAAAGCAACAUAAGCCACAAGCAGAGCAGCCUCGCAACAUGUGAUACUUCUAGUUGAACAUAAUUUCAGAUUGGGCACUGCCUCAUAUCGAGUAUCAGUGCCAGACGACAUCCAGUUACUUCGGCCCACACAUAGACUGAAUUUCAAGUCUUCAGCCAAAAGACUCUCUUAACUAAAGACUUGGGGGACUACUGUUUGUACCAUACUUAGGGCCUCCGUAUUUAGACCUCGUAUAAAUACUCGGGGGACUCAAGUGUAAUUAUGUAAUAAAUGAAGAGGGGCAAAUAUGUAAUAAGUGAGGAGCCCUUAGUCUAUAAAAGGGACUCCUCACCCUCACAAUCCUCAAGCCUCACAUCCCCAAACAGAGGCUCUCAUAUUCAGAGCUCUCAUCCUCACAGAGAAGCUCUCUAAAACCCUAUCUUUCUCUGGGGGACUCCCCCUCACGCUUGUAAUCCAUACAUUCAUACAUAGAAAUACAAUCAACAUCAGUGUGGACGUAGCCCAAAUAUUGGGGUGAACCACGAUACAUCUUGUGUUCUUUACUUCCUUACAGAUUCACGGUCGGAUUUACGUUGUUCCAAGACCCCUCCGGUUUUGUGCAUCAACAUAAUCUAAAACAAAAAUAGAAGUUGGAAAUAUAUAAUUAAUAGGAAACAUACUUUACAUGCAUGGCGACACAUCUUUUUUGGAUUUCACACAAUUGAUAGGGGAAUUCCACUAAAUUUUCCAUAACCGUUCAACCAAACUUUCAACUUUCACCAAACUUUCAACUUUCAUCAACCGUUCAACCACUAAACUUUCAACUUUCACCAACCGUUCAACUUUCCCCAAACUUUCAACUUUCACCAAUCGUUCAACUUUCAUCAAUCAUUCAACUUUCAUCAAUCAUCUUCUAUAUAAACACAAGUUUAAUAUCAGUUGAUAACACAAUCUUUCAACCUUCAAUCAUCCUUUAUAUUCACCAAUCUUUCAACUUUCAAAGUGUUUUUGUUUCCUAAAAAUCUUCAAUAGAAACUCAUGCCAAACAUAAAGCAACAUCUUCCUUACAAGUCCAAUUACGACCUCUAAUAUGCUCUCUUGCCAUGUUGAACAAUUUAGAAAUGGAAAGAAAUGGUAGAAAGAUAGAUUGAAAGAAUUGUAGGAGAAAUUUGAGUUUUGUGGGGAUGUUUGAACAAAUACAUAGGUAUUUAUAGAGUUUUUGGGUGAAUUUUGAGUUAAAUAAUUUUUUUUAAUUAUUUUAGCCGUUGGAUUUAAAUUUGGACCGUUAGAUCUUUCUUUUUUUUACCGUUAGAUUUGAUUAUAUUUGAUUUUAGCCGUUUGAUUCAAUGUAUUUUAAAAUAACAUUUUUUAAAAUUUUUUUUUUUUGAAUCUGGACCGUUGGAUCAACCAACGGUCAUUAAAUGUCAGCCGUUUGAUGUGGAAAAGAGCUGUUGGGCUCGAGGAUGUGACCAACAACAGCCAUAACAGUGGGCCCCCCGUUGUCGAGCGCUGAAGGCAGGUGGGCCGCGUGGGGCGCGUCGGCGAAUGGGCGGGUCGAGACUGGCCUAAGGGGGUAUUUGGCCCAGCUUUAGCAUUUGACUUUUAACCCAAUGUUUUAGCUUGGGUUGGGUGGUGUUUGGGGGGGGGGAAUAAAUGGGGUAUUUUGGCAUUUAACCCAGGGUUGGAGAGAGUCUUAAGUUCAAUCUUGGAUAAUAUUUUAAAUAUCUUUCUUUUACUUUUCUUUAGGUAAAUUACAUAAAACUACUUAACUAUGGAUCGAUACAAUCUCAUACCUUAUGUUUUAAUAAUGACAAUAUCAUUCCUCAUCUUACCAAUUUGUUGUAAUGUUAUACCUCCGUCAGUGUCUGUUAAUUUUUCUGUUAAAUGCUAACGUAACUUGAGACAAGACCCACUUCCUAGUCAAGUGGAUAAAAAUAUUAAUAAAUUAAAAAUAAUUUUUUUAAUAUUUUUAUUUUAAAUCAUGUGGGACCUACCCCCUAUAAUUCUCUCCCUUUCUCCACUUUUUCUUCUUGAUCCGAACCCAUCUCCCACCCACCUUUUCUGCACCAAAUCUUCCUCCUCCGAUGACCCAUCUGACCAAAAGGACCAUUCUGACCCGAAGGAACCCACAAACCCAAAUCCCCAAUCCCACUAUUCCUCUUGCUCUUCCUAUUUCAGCGACGUCAAAGCCAGCCUCAGGCAACACCAACAGCAGCAACAUUCUUCUACAGCUUCAAGUUUCCCACAACAAAUCUCUUUUCAAGAGCUCUACAAGAGAAAUGUGCUUGGCAAGGCUGAGGGCGGCAAUGCUGAUAGUGAUCGAAAGCUCUCUUUUGAUACGAUUUGAGAGAGUUCGAGGAACAAGAUCCUGAUUUUAUCCCCUCAUCGUCGUCAUCCUCGUCACCUCGUUGACCUUGUCCCCAGGCCCGAUGGACCCGCUACCCAAAACAAAAUCUAGGUUUUUUCGGUCCAAAUUUUUUUAAAAUAAAAAGGUGAAGAAUGGAUGAAGGAAGAAGGUGAAGAAUGGAUGAAGGUGAAGGUGAAUAAUGAAGGUGAAGGUGAAGAUGGAGGUGAGAGAGAUAGGAGAGAGAUUGGAUGUGAAAGAGAUAGGAGAGAGAGAGAUGGAACGCAUUAGGGGAGAAAUGGAAGAAAGGGAGUUAAAAUAAAAAUAUUAAAAUAAUUUAUUUUUAAUUUAGGAUUAAACUCUGUUUACUACCCUGAAAUUUUGUGGUUUUCAACAUUUAGUACAUCAAGUUUUUUUCGUUCCAGAGUUAUACCUAAAGUGUAAAUUUUGGGACAGUCUCAUACAUCCGUUAGUCAAACUGUUAAGUUUCCCGUUAACUGUGACGUGGCACCCAUAUAGACAAUGAUUAGAUGCCACGUGUCAUUCACGUGGAAAUUAAAAAUAAAUUAUUUAUAAAAUAAAUUAUAUAUAUAUAUAUAAUAAAAAAACCUUCUCCCACUCCCCCAACACUCUUUCUCUCACACCACUCCUACUCGGACUCCCGUGACUCCUUCCAUCUCUCUCGCGACCCCCGAUCAACCCCACUCCGCUCCCUCUGCGACACCCCUAACGACGCCGAUGGAUCCUCUUUGACGGCUCCGGUCAUGACUUCGGUUCAGAUCGGGUCUCCCGAUGGAUCAUCUCCGACGGCUCCGGUCACUGCAUCGCCGACAAAUCCCGAUUUCCUGGGGCUCGCCACACCGGAGAAUUGGUGAUGUCUCAGGCAGAGAUUCAGAGGCAGAUCCAGGAGUUGCAGAGGAUGCAAAUCGUUGCUGGUCACGAGCUGAGAGGCUCCGGUUCAUCAAACAACACAAUUCAAAAUUCAUUCUACAUUUUUUCCUCAGAUUCUCACCAUUCAAAUAAACUCAAAAAUCCAAUAAACAAACAACUAACAAUCAAAACUCACCCCAUAACUGUCAAAUCAGCUAUGCGUUUCGGAGAAAAUCGAAGCCUGAAGUGAAAAAAUGGGAAAUUAAAUUUAAAGAACAAAAUACCUCGUGGCCCAUCUGGGAAUUGACUGAGUGAGUGGGGUAAAACCGGAGAAUGGCAAUUUCUAAACCUGAGGAAGAAGCAACAAGAAAGCAAGAGAGAGAGAGAGCGGGGAAAAAGAGGAACAAGGAAGGCACGGUCGGCUUCAGAAAAGCGGGCCAGGCAUCAGCUGGCAGGCUGCCAACCAUGACUUAAAAAACUGCUUUUUGGGAACGAUUGUUAGGGUUUUGGGCGCGGGUUCUCCUCGUCCUCGAUCUCCCGCGGCGAGGAAUAGCUCCGGAUUCUGGUGCCUCUCUCUACCUCUUCUUCCCCAUUGAUGGUGUUGCGGCUGUAGGGGAAGCUUUUUCUGCUAUUGAAACUGGAAAAUUGAAACCCCCGCCACCUUGAUUUCUUCAGUCUAAAACGCUAACUAUAUCUUAAUCAAAUUGCGGUUUAGUAGUCGAUUUGGAUUUGGAGGGUCUGGAUUUGGAGGUUUAAGGUUUGGGCGAUGGUGCUGAGCAAGGCGACGGGGGCGACGUAGUUUGGGUUAGGGUGGGUGAAGGUCGAUCUGGGGAGAGAGAAGGGAGGGGGGUGAAGCGGGAGGAGUCGGAAGGAUCAGGGAAGAGAAGAGGGAGGAGAAGAGAAUAGUUUUUUAAUUUUUUUAAUUUUUAAUUUUUUUUAAUUUUUAAAUAUUCACGUGGGCCCAUUUUGACACGUGGGGCCCAAUCAUUGUCACAUGGGUGCCACGUCACAGUUAACGAGAGACUUAAUAGUUUAACUAACAAAUGUAUGAGACUGUUCCAAAAUUUACAUUUUAGGUAUGACUCUGGGACGAAAAAAACAUGAUGUACUAAAUGUUGAAAACCACGAAACAUGAGGGUAGUAAACAGUUUUUUGCCCUUUAAUUUAUUAAUAUUUUAUUAAUAUUUUUAUCCACUUGGCUAGGAAGUAGGUCCCGUCACAAGCUACCUCAGCAUUUAACAGAAAAAUUAAUAGACAAACUGAUGGAUGUAUGACAUUGCAACAAAUUCGUAAGAUGAGUAUGGCAUUGUUAUUUUUAAAACAUAAGGUAUGAGAUUGUAGUUCGACUCAUAGUUGAGGUAAUUUUAUAUAAUUUAUCUUUUUUAUUUUUAUUUGCUAACUACUUAGAGAGUGGUAGAUACUCAAAUACUGUUUGCGUACUUAUUUUUUUAUUGAUGAUUUCUAAAUGUAAUCUGAAAAAUUAGUGUCUAUUUAUCAUUACUCAUUAGAUAAUAAGUAUGUAGAGUGUAAAGUUAAUUUUUAAAACGCAACACAAAAUUUAAGAAUUUGGGAAUUAAGGAAAUAAAUUCAAGUGUGUGUUGAUGAGUGAUGACUAGACUAGGAGAUUAAUUGUCUUUGUCGAGCUAUAUAUGCAAUUAACCAACACUAACGCCACUGUAAAAACAACUUAUACAAAGUAAUGGAGGGCGCACGAGUGAUAAAAUAAUCUUUAAAGGCUUAAUUAGUUUUAAGAAACGAAACAAUUUAGUAAAAAAAAUAUAGGGGACUUGUGUUUUUCUUGAACAUGCACCCGGUUUCUUGGACCUCUGGUUUCGAAUUCAUGAAUUCCCCCUAUCAAUUGUGUGAAAAACCAAAAAGAUGUGUCGCCAUGCAUGUAGAGUAUUGUUUCCUAGCUUAACCCGGUUAAUUAUAUAGUUCCAACUUCUAUUUUUGUUUUAGAUUACCUUACAAGUUUCAGAAACAAGAAAAGUGGAAAUGUUCUAAUACUUUUUUACAUUUGUUUAUUUUCCUUUUUAAUUUCUAUUUUUGUUAUUGUCAUCAAGUACAUCGUAUUAGUCCAUCUGAUAGCGGGAUUACACAACUAAUUCCAAACAGUAAAAAAGAAAACAAGGAAAAAAGGAAACAACCAUGAAAACUUGAAAAAUUAGCAAAUACAAGAAGAUACCCGUUGUGUGUAUACAUGAGAAAUCCAAAACCUGCCACUUAGUACUACGGUCUAGUGAUAUUCAUCUUCAUUUGUAAGUAGAGGUCUUAAGUUUGACUCUCGUCAAAGGCAAAUUUGAACCGCAUUAUUGCUAGCUCAUUGUAAGGCUAAGUUCACAAUCUCUCCCUUAGUGUAGAUAAUAACGCUUGCUCAAAAAAAAAAAAAAAUCCAAAACCUAACCCUAACCCAAAAAAAAUCCAAAACCUAACCCUAACCCUCUUUAACAACCCUUCACCCCAACUACAAAAUAACUCAUCAGUUUUGAGGCACAAGCUUAUGCAUGACAGUGUAGUAAGCCAAGCAAGAGCUUUGAAUGAAAGGGGUGGUAUUCAUGACAAAUAUAUGCCAUAUAAUAGUAAUACCAUGUGGUCUGAAGAAGAGUUGGAUUUCUAUGGAUGGGCGUGAGAAGAUAUGGACGCGACAAUUGGAAUGCUAUGUUAAGGGAUCCAAGAUUGCACUUCUCACCACGGAGGGUGGCAAGGGACUAAGCUGAGCGGUGGGAAGAGGAACAAUCAAAAUUUUUUAGUGGCAUUUGUGUUCCCCAAGUGGGAUGCAACUACUUUACGGGUCCAAAAAGAGGAAUAUGGAAAGAAAAUACAGCAGACAUGACCCAAGUUUCACUUGGCGAUGUUGAUGCUUGUAGAGGAGGUGAUGUCUUGAGGAGGCCACUAUUCAAGUCGGCUUAUACUUGCGACAAUGGCAAUGAAAACCACCGGAGGCCUCUUGGUUACACAAAGAGGACAUCUCGUUUUGAAAUGGGAAGGGACACACAUGAAGAUGAUGAAUUUAGUAUUCUAAAUAGAGGUAGAAGUAUUCGGAGGGGCAAGUUACUAUCGACCGAUGUCCCCACAACUUGCACUGGACCACAGGGAAAUUUGCCCUACUGGCUCAGAGAAGCUGUUGCUUCUCCACCCCCAAACUGUGCCUUCAACUGUUUCAUCAAUUGCUCAUUCAGACAGGUUGAAUGUCACCCUUGCUGGUUUUGAUCGUCGGGAAUCACAUUUGGCACCAAGGAAUGAAAUGCAGGUUACAUGUGGUGAUUUAAGAGUAAAUGCUUCUCUUUUCAACCACUUAUCGGUAGGACUUGGGACGGGGAAACAGAGAAGGGAUCAUUCUCGUCAUGCCGGUAAACAAGACGACGUAAUUAUUAUAGCCAGCGAUGGUUCUUCUGAAGAGACUAUAUCUGAUGAUCGUAGGUAGCUUGGCAGGUGGAAAUCUGUUUGUUUACGGGAAGCUGUACAAAGGUGGUGUACACAGUUUGUUAGUCAGGCAAUUUGUUAACGAAUUUUAGUCUCUGUAAUUCCACUAAUAGAAGUAUCGUACCACUAGACCGUAACUUCAGAAAUUUAAAAAAUUUCAUUCGACUUUGCUAAAUUUCAACGAAAUAUUAACUUAUGAAUCCCGGUUACGUCGUACUGAAUGGAACUACAAAAAAACUAGGGAAGCAAAUUAAAAUAGUUGUGUUUCAAGUUCAAAGCGAUGCAGAUUCAAUUUCCAUGGGGAAAUCAAUGUUUUGCUCUAUAGGAUCUUCUCGGAACGUUUCAUGGCAUCUUUGAGCGUUCCUCAAUCCUUCCAACUCUGUUGAUACCUCUUUCAUACUAGGCCUCUUUGCCCCAUUCAGCCUCAAACACCGUUUUGCAAGCUCUGCAAUCGUGCGAAUUUGCUCAACAUCUGCAUCUCUAGCCACUUGAGGAUCCAAAAUCUGAACGAGUUCAUCUUCCCUCGUCAAUGAAACGAACGAUGCAACCAGGUUUUCUCCUUCAUGCUUUGCAAAAGAAUAUGGGGUGUGUCCAGUUAGUAUCUCCACGAGCGUAACUCCGAAGCUGUAGGUAUCACUUCUGUCUGAGAACUUACAAGAUUGGAAGUACUCGGGAUCCAUGUACCCGAAAGUCCCCUGUACUUGUGUCGUCAAGUGAGUUUUGUCAAGGGGAACUGAUUUGGAAGUCCCAAAGUCGGAUACUUUAGCACUGUAGUUGUGGUCUAGAAGUAUGUUAGACGACUUGAUGUCUCUGUGAUAGAUGGGGAUUGAAGCUGCUGAGUGCAUAUAAGCUAUUGCUCCGGCAACUUCACAAGCGAUCCUUAAACGGCAUUCCCACGAAAGUGAUGAUUCGGUUGAGUCUUUCUUCUGAAGGAUAUGAUGGGAGAGAGUUGCAUUAGAAAUAUACUCAUAUACUAGCAAUGGAACCUCCGUCUCCAAGCAACAACCAAGCAAUUUCACGAUGUUUCGAUGAUUGAUUUGAGUUAGAAUGACAACUUCAUUGAUGAAUUGCUCAAUCUGAUUUUCGUCUAUCGCCCUUGACCUUUUAACCGCUACUAUGGUUCCGUCAGGUAACAUCCCUUUAUAAACUGUGCCAUAACCUCCUUCCCCUAGAAACCGGCUCACGUUGUAGUUAUCUGUUGCUCUCUCCAACUCCUCUGCAGUAAAUAGUUUUGCAUUGCUACUAAUUCCAUAAGAUGAGAAUUUUUCUCGCAACAAGAAGCCCCCAUUUUGCUUGAAAAAUUUCUCUUUACGGGUUUUGGUUCUCCUUCUCUUCACGCAUUGAUAUAAAUAGUAGCAUAAAAGGAACACGCAUAUGAAUGCAAACCCAAUCCCAAUACCUGUCAAGUAAAUUAGACAACAAAGAAAAACCAAUUAGCUCACGUCAAGUUGAAAAUUCACGUACUACUCAGAUAGUUGUUAGAAGAAUGUAAAGUCUGACAUUUGAAACGUGAAAAAAUAAAAUACGAGAUAUAAUGAAUAAUUUUACUACUAAUUACAUCGAUGCAUUUUUGUACAUCGGCCUGCUAGACUGUGUAAGAUCUAGAGGAUUGAUAUGUAUACCUAGCAGUGUGAACAACUUCACCGGAAACUUUUUGCCUUUGGAAUUGCAAUCGACAUAUUCUAGGAUACUCCCAUCUGCAACGAAAUUACCAUCAGAAGUAGGGCAUUUCUUGCUUUUGAGGGGAACAAGAAC